CCCGCCCCACCGUCUUGAUUUGGUAGGCGUAGGAUUGGAUCUGAGUCGCACGGGCUUGAGGUGCGUUGGGUUCAACUCGUUGGGCUUGCGCGGUCGGUUGUGCUCGCCUCCCAUAUGAUAUGAUUUGCUUGUUGUUGAAUUGGGGUAGGAUGAUUGCUUCACGCGGUCCUGUAUUUCUGGUAGAUUCGUCCUUGUCUUUUGGUUUACGCUAAUGAUAUAGAUGGCACUAGCAGUUCGGUUCUCAGAUUGAUGGCGAUUAAUUUAGGUUACAAAUGAACUUGAGUGGCUGCCUACCUGCCUGCAAAUGUUGUUCUCACGAAAUUGGUACUGUGGCAUUUGAACUCUACUAUCCUAUGCUUUUUUAAUUAGUUCUUCUGUUCUACCCCAGCAAGCUAAUCUAUUCUCCUAAGUACAAAAUUCCUAGAUUUCCUAUUACCGGGAGUUAGACAAGUCGAUGUGGGUACAAGUAAAUAUUCAUUAGAUGAGCAUGAGUAGCUGCGCUUCUUUAGGUAACUCCCUAACUUGAUGGUCCGUACUCUGUUAACCUAUUUGAUACAUUCUUGCGUUGUAGAGCUGACUACAGUCCAAACAAUGAUCUAUGGGAGCAGGAUUUAUGCUCAAGAGAAGAUGGUUUCAUAGGAAGGACCUGGAGGUUAUAUAUGUUUUAUAUUUCCGCGUUACGGUGAUAACAGAUUAAUAGCAACAUCAGAAUUUCCUUGGUUCUAUUAUAUUACUUCUGUAUGCAUGAUACACAUUAGAAAAAAAACUCCACCUUGGUUGCCAGAAAACUCAUAUCAAUCUGUUGGCCUCAUUGUCUGCUAAAAAAUCAUGAAUGGAAAUUUGGAUUCUAUUAUCAAUGGCAUUAAAGAUAUAAAUAGCAUGGUCGUUCUUUAAGACAGUGUUUAAUUUGAAAUCAUUUAACAAGUGAGGCAGGUUCAGUUUUGAACAAUGCAAGUAGGAUGCAAGGGAUAAACAGGAAAUCUGCUAGGCUGAUGCGCCGGAGAGACGUACCAGGAGGCCGACCAGUCCGUGGUGUCGCCGCCGUCGUCCUCGUCCCUCAUGCACAGCGACAGAGAGAGACGAUCUGUCUGGAGAUCGAGUAUAGGAUCUAGUACUGGUAAUAUCCUGCAGGCGUUGGAAGAGUACCUGCCAGUCUUGCUAGGAUUGGUUAAAGAAGAGGCAUGGAACAUGCUCGGCCCCUGCUGUACAGGAAGAAUUACAGUACUUCACUACUGCCCGUGAUCUCUACAUCAGAUAUAAUGUUACAGGAAUACUGGCGAUCGGGGAUAUCUUGAUCUCCAACGGUAGAAAAUGUGCACUCAGUGAUGUCAUUCAUACUAUUGAUACUAUCAAACAUUCGUUUGGGGGCUCACUGCAGAUCAUCUGCAAGAAGAGCUCAGUUCAAGAACUAAGGCUAUGCUUUGCCAAAGAUUUGAAGGUGAGUUAUCUUUUGUCCUUGGAAAGGUCUCCUUGGUUUUCAUUUUUAUUUGCAUGAACACAACUUUACUGCUUAAGGACGAAUGUUGUCACAACAAUUCUCGGGACAAUGAUCUUACUUGGUAAUUCGCGCAGCACCAGUGCUAAUCAACUCAUAUGAUUUAGAGCUUUGAAGGAUUUUAAACUUUAGAUCUCAGUACCAGCUUUGCCCGAGAAGAAGAAAUCAAAUUGAUCUCAGUAUAAGUACAAAUGCAUUUAUGAGAUCUUUCAACUUAUAUCACCAUUUUGUUUAUUUAUGCUGCUCAUAAAUUUUGUUUCAUUUUUUUAAGUUGUUAUUUCUGGCCAUGCAUUAUCUUUAUGGAUGAAAUCGAUGAAAUUUGUGGGAGAAAAUUUAGUGAGGGAACCAGUGAUGACUUCCCGCGGAUGCGGAUGGAGCUUCUUAAUCAGCUGGAUGGAUUUGAUGAGCUUGGCAAGGUAGACUGACAUCAUCAAGUAUUUUUCUUCUCUAGAUGCCUUUAUGCCAUAUAUGCAAAGGAUUGGAUUCAAUCGAAGUUAUUUGCUUGCCUGAAUGUAUGUGUGAUAUGCACUCUAGCUUUCCUGGCUCCUGGUUAAAGUAUGGCAGUCUCGAGACGAGUUUUACAGAUUAAGUUUAUUGUUCAUCUUUUACAGAUGGAAUAAAAAUUGAGGACUUGAUUGUUGACAUGCCAACAGAAGUGCCUAAUUCUCUGAUAGGCUUUGGUUCUUAUGAUACUUUCUUACUGGGCUUGUUUUAUUUUAUUUUGGGAAAACCCAUGAUUUUAUCCUAACCCGAAAUUGCUGAGGUAGGAUAAGAGUAAUGGGAAUCCAAGCCCAAUUCUCCAUUUCAAUGUACACAAAAUUACUGAUGCAUCUCCAUUUCAAUGUACACAAAAUUCAGUUGGAGUAGACUCCAAAUCUACAAAUCAUUCUUCCUACAAAAAGUAGAAACAGAGCCUAUCGACACAACCAGAACACUCUUUUAACUCUUAAACUUAGCAAGCAGUAACUAUCCAGAGUAGUUCUUCAGAGCUCUAUCGACACAACCAGAGUAGUUCUUUAGAGCUCUAUUCAGCCUGACAUCAAAGGGAGUCAAGUAUCGCUUCAGCUUUCUAUCCUGCAACAGAUAAUUAAAGAUUGUCAGAAGGUUGAAGGUGGAAUCGAACUCCGAGCUCGAGGCCGCUGCGGUUUAGUGGUGACUGGUCGCGCCCGAUCUAGGUAAAAUCUUCGUCUGAUUUUUGGUCCACACGACGAUGAUCUGUUUUUUCGGGAGUUUCUUCAGGAUCCGCUCGUGUGCCAGAGCCGGCUCAGGAUGCCUUCCUGGACGAUGACGAAACAAGCUUGAAGCGAGUGGAGCGCCGAAGGAGGAUCUCGGGGAUGAAGGAGGCAUCGGCGACGACCUCAGAAAAGAGCGGCAGGGGGCCGCGCCCGUGCUGGUGCUGUCGCUGACGCUCCACUCCACUUGGACGGCAGCAAUUGGGAGCUGCCUUAGCGUACUACGUGUUGGAGGACAACGGCGUGCAGGUCAUGUGCCUGGUGCUAGACAUGAUGGCCGGGACCAAACCGUCAUCCGCAACUACUAGCAGCAGAACACAGAAGUCGUCUAUGACCUUGACAGGACAUGCUGGCCUUUGUGUCGGCGCAGUGCGACAAGCUCGCAGCAUCACUAUAGUGUUUUUGUAGAGAGAUAGAAUUUGUAGUACCGAUCAGGUGAAAUGCGCCAAUGUGGCAAUGGUACUGAACUGAAGCAACGGUCUUUUUUAAUGAAAUGUGCUCUCGAUUGUAAAGCUAGCCAAAAAGGGCUGCUGGAUGAGCAUUGUCCUA
Molecule: long non-coding RNA, 3276 nt
Organism: Triticum aestivum (bread wheat)
Lineage: Eukaryota; Viridiplantae; Streptophyta; Magnoliopsida; Poales; Poaceae
Exons: 7
Source: RefSeq, a predicted model, not a curated record